Molecule: small nuclear RNA, 160 nt
Filed under: Ananas comosus (pineapple)
Lineage: Eukaryota; Viridiplantae; Streptophyta; Magnoliopsida; Poales; Bromeliaceae
Description: U1 spliceosomal RNA
Rfam family: U1 spliceosomal RNA
About the family: U1 is a small nuclear RNA (snRNA) component of the spliceosome (involved in pre-mRNA splicing). Its 5' end forms complementary base pairs with the 5' splice junction, thus defining the 5' donor site of an intron.
Source: Rfam by way of RNAcentral
AUACUUACCUGGACGGGGUCUAUGGGCGAUCAAGAAGGCUCAUGGCCUAGACCCGCGGCUCCCAUUGCACCUGGGGAGUGCGCUGGCCUACCAUCUCCCCAAGUGGGAGAGUGGACGUCAUAAUUUGUGGUAGAGGGGGUACGCGCACGCGCGGCCCCUG